This 253-nucleotide ribosomal RNA is filed under the name uncultured bacterium. RNAcentral describes it as "partial 16S ribosomal RNA". It matches the Rfam family "Bacterial small subunit ribosomal RNA", at positions 524 to 776 of the family's 1533-position model. The record is from RNAcentral.
UACGUAGGGGGCAAGCGUUGUCCGGAUUUAUUGGGCGUAAAGAGCGUGUAGGCGGUUUGGUAGGUCCGUUGUGAAAACUCGAGGCUCAACCUCGAGACGCCGAUGGAAACCAUCAGACUAGAGUCCGGAAGAGGAGAGUGGAAUUCCUGGUGUAGCGGUGAAAUGCGCAGAUAUCGGGAAGAACACCCGUGGCGAAGGCGGCUCUCUGGGACGGUACUGACGCUGAGACGCGAAAGCGUGGGGAGCGAACAGG